RNAcentral lists this ribosomal RNA (445 nucleotides) under Neogloboquadrina pachyderma. RNAcentral's name for it is "SSU rRNA". It matches the Rfam family "Eukaryotic small subunit ribosomal RNA", at positions 1179 to 1424 of the family's 1831-position model. The record is from RNAcentral. Lineage: Eukaryota; Foraminifera; Rotaliida; Globorotaliidae.
GAGCAUGUGGCUUAAUUUGACUCAACGCGGGAAAUCUUACCGGGUCCGGACACACUGAGGAUUGACAGGCAAUAUCUCAUGUUAACGGUAAGUUUACUUACCGCUUAACAUCGAGUGUUAAAUAUGCUAGUCCUUUCAUGAUUAUGUGAUAGGUGGUGCAUGGCCGUUCUUAGUUCGUGGAGUGAUCUGUCUGCUUAAUUGCGUUUCACUAAGGGCCCAUAAAUUCAAGGUAUGUUAGCUCUCGUCGCUCUAUGGACCCCUUAACUCCAAUAUUCUUAUUGUGUUAAGCGCGUGUCUUUAUUUUAAGAGUUUUAAGACACUGCGCAUGCUGUUGGGCUCUGAAAGCAACGAACGUGACCGCAACGUCUUGUUGCCUUAAACUAGCGUANAUUGCAAUUUAUUGCAAUAUCGCUUACAGAGGCAUUUUAAAACUAGACGGACCGCU